This 1498-nucleotide ribosomal RNA is filed under the name uncultured bacterium. Its description in RNAcentral is "bacterial SSU rRNA". It matches the Rfam family "Bacterial small subunit ribosomal RNA". The record is from RNAcentral.
AGAGUUUGAUCAUGGCUCAGGAUGAACGCUAGCGACAGGCCUAACACAUGCAAGUCGAGGGGUAACAUUUCAGCUUGCUGAAGAUGACGACCGGCGCACGGGUGAGUAACGCGUAUGCAACCUACCUUGUACAGGGGGAUAGCCCGGAGAAAUCCGGAUUAAUACCGCAUAAUAUGAUUGAUUCGCAUGGAUUAAUUAUUAAACUUUCGGGGGUACAAGAUGGGCGUGCGUAGCAUUAGUUAGUUGGUAAGGUAACGGCUUACCAAGACGAUGAUGCUUAGGGGGUCUGAGAGGAUAGUCCCCCACACUGGUACUGAGACACGGACCAGACUCCUACGGGAGGCAGCAGUGAGGAAUAUUGGUCAAUGGGCGCAAGCCUGAACCAGCCAUGUCGCGUGCAGGAUGACGGCCCUAUGGGUUGUAAACUGCUUUUUUACGGGAAUAAUUGUCUCUACGUGUAGGGAUUUGAAGGUACCGUAUGAAUAAGGAUCGGCUAACUCCGUGCCAGCAGCCGCGGUAAUACGGAGGAUUCGAGCGUUAUCCGGAUUUAUUGGGUUUAAAGGGUCCGUAGGCGGGCAAUUAAGUCAGUGGUGAAAUCCCAGAGCUCAACUCUGGAACUGCCAUUGAUACUGGUUGUCUUGAAUUUGGUUGAGUGGGCGGAAUACGUUAUGUAGCGGUGAAAUGCAUAGAUAUAACGUAGAACACCGAUUGGCGAAGGCAGCUCACUAAACUAAUAUUGACGCUGAUGGACGAAAGCGUGGGGGAGCGAACAGGAUUAGAUACCCUGGUAGUCCACGCCGUAAACGAUGAUUACUCGUUGUGCACGAUACACUGUGCGUGACUGAGCGAAAGCAUUAAGUAAUCCACCUGGGGAGUACGUUGGCAACAAUGAAACUCAAAGGAAUUGACGGGGGCCCGCACAAGCAGCGGAGCAUGUGGUUUAAUUCGAAGCAACGCGAAGAACCUUACCAAGUCUUGACAUCCUCAUGACCAUCAUAUAAUCAUGAUCUCCCUUCGGGGUAUGAGUGACAGGUGGUGCAUGGUUGUCGUCAGCUCGUGUCGUGAGAUGUUGGGUUAAGUCCCGCAACGAGCGCAACCCUUGUCUUUAGUUGUCAUCAGGUAAUGCUGGACCCUCUAGAGAGACUGCCGGUGAUAAACCGGAGGAAGGUGGGGAUGACGUCAAAUCAUCAUGCCCCUUAUGAUUUGGGCUACACACGUGCUACAAUGGUCGGUACAACAGGCAGUGAAAGAGUAAUCUGGAACGAAUCCUCUAAAGCCGAUCUCAGUUCGGAUUGUGGGCUGCAACUCGCCCACAUGAAGUUGGAGUUGCUAGUAAUCGUGAAUCAGAAUGUCGCGGUGAAUGCGUUCCCGGGUCUUGUACACACCGCCCGUCACACCAUGGAAGUUGGGGGCGCCCGAAGCCAGUGAUCCAACCGUAAGGAGGAAGCUUCGAAGGUGAAACCAAUGACUAGGGUGAAGUCGUAACAAGGUAACCGUA